GCAUCGGUGGUUCAGUGGUUCAGUGCCACGCGGGCGGCCCGGGUUCGAUUCCCGGCCUAUGCA
RNAcentral lists this transfer RNA (63 nucleotides) under Cordylochernes scorpioides. Its description in RNAcentral is "tRNA-OTHER". It matches the Rfam family "tRNA". From Rfam's summary of the family: Transfer RNA (tRNA) molecules are approximately 80 nucleotides in length. The record is from RNAcentral. Lineage: Eukaryota; Metazoa; Arthropoda; Arachnida; Pseudoscorpiones; Chernetidae.